GCCUCGGUAGCUCAGUCGGCAGAGCGCGUGCCUUUUAAGCCCGUGGCCGCGGGUUCGAGCUCUGCCCGAGGUG
Perkinsus marinus ATCC 50983 is the source of this 73-nucleotide non-coding RNA. The record is from Rfam. Lineage: Eukaryota; Perkinsozoa; Perkinsida; Perkinsidae.